AUACUGCACUGCUUAUUGCACCACAUGUGUUUUUCUUUGAAACAAACUUGCUUUGGCGGUGGGCCCAGCCUGCCGCCAGAGGUCUAAACUUACAACCAAUUUUUUAUUAACUUGUCACACCAGAUUAUUACUUAAUAGUCAAAACUUUCAACAACGGAUCUCUUGGUUCUCGCAUCGAUGAAGAACGCAGCGAAAUGCGAUACGUAAUAUGAAUUGCAGAUAUUCGUGAAUCAUCGAAUCUUUGAACGCACAUUGCGCCCUCUGGUAUUCCGGAGGGCAUGCCUGUUUGAGCGUCGUUUCUCCCUCAAACCGCUGGGUUUGGUGUUGAGCAAUACGACUUGGGUUUGCUUGAAAGACGGUAGUGGUAAGGCGGGAUCGCUUUGACAAUGGCUUAGGUCUAACCAAAAACAUUGCUUGCGGCGGUAACGUCCACCACGUAUAUCUUCAAACUUUGACCUCAAAUCAGGUAGGACUACCCGCUGAACUUAAGCAUAUCAAUAAGGGGAGAAA
RNAcentral lists this ribosomal RNA (510 nucleotides) under Candida albicans. RNAcentral describes it as "eukaryotic LSU rRNA". The stretch from base 143 to 296 matches the Rfam family "5.8S ribosomal RNA". The record is from RNAcentral. Lineage: Eukaryota; Fungi; Ascomycota; Pichiomycetes; Serinales; Debaryomycetaceae.